Molecule: ribosomal RNA, 1411 nt
Filed under: uncultured bacterium
Lineage: Bacteria
Description: 16S ribosomal RNA
Rfam family: Bacterial small subunit ribosomal RNA
Source: RNAcentral
AGAGUUUGAUCCUGGCUCAGGAUGAACGCUGGCGGCGUGCCUAAUACAUGCAAGUCGAACGAAACUUCUUUAUCACCGAGUGCUUGCACUCACCGAUAAAGAGUUGAGUGGCGAACGGGUGAGUAACACGUGGGCAACCUGCCCAAAAGAGGGGGAUAACACUUGGAAACAGGUGCUAAUACCGCAUAACCAUAGUUACCGCAUGGUAACUAUGUAAAAGGUGGCUAUACUACCGCUUUUGGAUGGGCCCGCGGCGCAUUAGCUAGUUGGUAAGGUAACGGCUUACCAAGGCGAUGAUGCAUAGCCGAGUUGAGAGACUGAUCGGCCACAAUGGAACUGAGACACGGUCCAUACUCCUACGGGAGGCAGCAGUAGGGAAUCUUCCACAAUGGGCGCAAGCCUGAUGGAGCAACACCGCGUGAGUGAAGAAGGGUUUCGGCUCGUAAAGCUCUGUUGUUGGAGAAGAACGUGCGUGAGAGUAACUGUUCACGCAGUGACGGUAUCCAACCAGAAAGUCACGGCUAACUACGUGCCAGCAGCCGCGGUAAUACGUAGGUGGCAAGCGUUAUCCGGAUUUAUUGGGCGUAAAGCGAGCGCAGGCGGUUGCUUAGGUCUGAUGUGAAAGCCUUCGGCUUAACCGAAGAAGUGCAUCGGAAACCGGGCGACUUGAGUGCAGAAGAGGACAGUGGAACUCCAUGUGUAGCGGUGGAAUGCGUAGAUAUAUGGAAGAACACCAGUGGCGAAGGCGGCUGUCUGGUCUGCAACUGACGCUGAGGCUCGAAAGCAUGGGUAGCGAACAGGAUUAGAUACCCUGGUAGUCCAUGCCGUAAACGAUGAGUGCUAGGUGUUGGAGGGUUUCCGCCCUUCAGUGCCGGAGCUAACGCAUUAAGCACUCCGCCUGGGGAGUACGACCGCAAGGUUGAAACUCAAAGGAAUUGACGGGGGCCCGCACAAGCGGUGGAGCAUGUGGUUUAAUUCGAAGCUACGCGAAGAACCUUACCAGGUCUUGACAUCUUGCGCUAACCUUAGAGAUAAGGCGUUCCCUUCGGGGACGCAAUGACAGGUGGUGCAUGGUCGUCGUCAGCUCGUGUCGUGAGAUGUUGGGUUAAGUCCCGCAACGAGCGCAACCCUUGUUACUAGUUGCCAGCAUUAAGUUGGGCACUCUAGUGAGACUGCCGGUGACAAACCGGAGGAAGGUGGGGACGACGUCAGAUCGUCAUGCCCCUUAUGACCUGGGCUACACACGUGCUACAAUGGACGGUACAACGAGUCGCAAGCUCGCGAGAGUAAGCUAAUCUCUUAAAGCCGUUCUCAGUUCGGACUGUAGGCUGCAACUCGCCUACACGAAGUCGGAAUCGCUAGUAAUCGCGGAUCAGCAUGCCGCGGUGAAUACGUUCCCGGGCCUUGCACA